UGGGGAAUCUUGGACAAUGGGCGAAAGCCUGAUCCAGCAAUGCCGCGUGCAGGAUGAAGGCCUUCGGGUUGUAAACUGCUUUUGUACGGAACGAAAAGCUUCGGGUUAAUACCCUGGAGUCAUGACGGUACCGUAAGAAUAAGCACCGGCUAACUACGUGCCAGCAGCCGCGGUAAUACGUAGGGUGCAAGCGUUAAUAGGAAUUACUGGGCGUAAAGCGUGCGCAGGCGGUCUUGUAAGACAGAGGUGAAAUCCCCGGGCUCAACCUGGGAACUGCCUUUGUGACUGCAAGGCUGGAGUGCGGCAGAGGGGGAUGGAAUUCCGCGUGUAGCAGUGAAAUGCGUAGAUAUGCGGAGGAACACCGAUGGCGAAGGCGAUCCCCUGGGCCUGCACUGACGCUGAUGCACGAAAGCGUGGGGAGCAAACAGG
Molecule: ribosomal RNA, 429 nt
Filed under: bacterium
Lineage: Bacteria
Description: partial 16S ribosomal RNA
Rfam family: Bacterial small subunit ribosomal RNA
Source: RNAcentral